Nicotiana tabacum (common tobacco) is the source of this 570-nucleotide non-coding RNA. The record is from RefSeq and is a predicted model, not a curated record. NCBI's taxonomy places the organism in Eukaryota, Viridiplantae, Streptophyta, Magnoliopsida, Solanales, Solanaceae.
UUCAUCCUCCUGGGCAAAACCUGCCUCCGUUAUAGUGGCUUUUCCAAAGGGUUGUAACUUUUCAAUUAACCGUUGGCAUCAUUUAAAAUUUUUAACCGAAUCCUUUUUAUAAAAGCCUCGCAUACCAUUGUCCUCAAACAAUUUCUGCUAUCCUUCUUAAACUCAUAUGCUAUUUUCCUAUCCUUAAACUGUUAUACACAAUAAUAUACCUCCACAAAUCCAAAGCCUUUGCGGCAAGGAAUUUGUUUUCAAGCUACGAUUAAACAAUUACAAUCUUAAAGAGGGGCUUAAAAAUUAUACGGUAUUCAUGUUGUUCAUUCCAGAUGAGAAUCUGGAAUUGCAAUACACAACAAGGACAGAACAAAAGGGGAAAAAGAAAGUUGAGGAUAACAUUGCAACAAAACGUUUUGUUGAAGGAAAGGAAUCUACUAAUGUCUCUUUGGAGGACUUUGAAGGCUCUCCUGAAGAUCCACAUGUCAAUGACGGUGUUAACUGUAGGAAGAGAAGAACUUUAUUAAGAAAGAUUAGAAAGAGAAAAAACCUAAUCAUACAUGACGAUGAAGUUAUCGA